GCAGAUCUAGUUUAACGAAAACGCUGGAUUGUGAUUCCAGAAACAGGGGUUAAAAUCCCCUGACCCGCC
This is a non-coding RNA of Clupea harengus (Atlantic herring), 69 nucleotides long. NCBI's taxonomy places the organism in Eukaryota, Metazoa, Chordata, Actinopteri, Clupeiformes, Clupeidae. The record is from Ensembl.